RNAcentral lists this ribosomal RNA (138 nucleotides) under uncultured bacterium. RNAcentral's name for it is "partial 16S ribosomal RNA". It matches the Rfam family "Bacterial small subunit ribosomal RNA", at positions 355 to 509 of the family's 1533-position model. The record is from RNAcentral.
UGGGGAAUAUUGCACAAUGGGGGAAACCCGUGAUGCAGCGACGCCGCGUGAGUGAAGAAGUAUUUCGGUACGUAAAGCUCUAUCAGCAGGGAAGAAAAUGACGGUACCUGAUUAAGAAGCCCCGGCUAACUACGUGCC